GGAGUGAAGCUUGGUGGUAGAGCUCUUGCCUAACAAGCACAAGGUCAUGGGUUCCAUUGCCAGUACUACA
RNAcentral lists this transfer RNA (70 nucleotides) under Marmota monax (woodchuck). Its description in RNAcentral is "tRNA.Val". The record is from RNAcentral. Lineage: Eukaryota; Metazoa; Chordata; Mammalia; Rodentia; Sciuridae.